RNAcentral lists this ribosomal RNA (450 nucleotides) under uncultured bacterium. RNAcentral's name for it is "bacterial SSU rRNA". It matches the Rfam family "Bacterial small subunit ribosomal RNA", at positions 354 to 796 of the family's 1533-position model. The record is from RNAcentral.
GUGGGGAAUUUUGGACAAUGGGCGCAAGCCUGAUCCAGCCAUGCCGCGUGUGGGAAGAAGGCCUUCGGGUUGUAAACCACUUUUGUCAGGGAAGAAACGGCUCUUACUAAUAUUAGGGGCUAAUGACGGUACCUGAAGAAUAAGCACCGGCUAACUACGUGCCAGCAGCCGCGGUAAUACGUAGGGUGCAAGCGUUAAUCGGAAUUACUGGGCGUAAAGCGUGCGCAGGCGGCUUUGCAAGACAGAUGUGAAAUCCCCGGGCUCAACCUGGGAACUGCAUUUGUGACUGCAUGGCUAGAGUACGGUAGAGGGGGAUGGAAUUCCGCGUGUAGCAGUGAAAUGCGUAGAUAUGCGGAGGAACACCGAUGGCGAAGGCAAUCCCCUGGACCUGUACUGACGCUCAUGCACGAAAGCGUGGGGAGCAAACAGGAUUAGAUACCCGAGUAGUCC